RNAcentral lists this long non-coding RNA (311 nucleotides) under Salmo trutta (river trout). RNAcentral's name for it is "lncRNA (ENSSTUG00000036517.1)". Lineage: Eukaryota; Metazoa; Chordata; Actinopteri; Salmoniformes; Salmonidae. The record is from RNAcentral.
AUGUCCCAUGGCUAUUUGGAUACCCGCGUGAAGAAUACCACGGGAGGCACCUCGCCAGUCCAUUUGGCCCAGAGUUGUUUCCAGGUGGAAACUUUCGGACACACCUUCACCCUGGACCUGGAGUUAAACCACAACCUCCUGUCCUCAGACUAUGUGGAGCGGCACUUUCACCAAGACGGCAAACCCUCACAGUCUAUGGUAGUGUGUGUGUGUGUGUGUGUGUGUGUGUGUGUGUGUGUGUGUUUGUAUGUUAUAAUUAGGGCCCUGUAUUUUGCGCAAUCAUUUGAUAUGCCUGGAUUUUAACCGUUAUU